GGUAACGACACUAGCUUGCUAGUGGUCGACGAGUGGCGGACGGGUGAGUAACGCGUAGGAAUCUACCUAGUAGUGGGGGAUAGCCAAGGGAAACUUUGGGUAAUACCGCAUACGAUCUAAGGAUGAAAGGGGGCCUCUCUUUGAAGCUCUCGCUAUUAGAUGAGCCUGCGUAAGAUUAGCUUGUUGGUGGGGUAAUGGCCCACCAAGGCGACGAUCUUUAGCUGGUCUGAGAGGAUGAUCAGUCACACUGGAACUGAGACACGGUCCAGACUCCUACGGGAGGUAGCAGUCGGAAAUAUUGGACAAUGGGGGAAACCCUGAUCCAGCCAUGCCGCGUGUGUGAAGAAGGCCCUAGGGUUGUAAAGCACUUUUAGUAGUGAGGAAGGCUCGGUAGUUAAUACCUACCGGGAUUGACGUUAGCUACAGAAAAAGCACCGGCUAAUUUCGUGCCAGCAGCCGCGGUAAUACGAAAGGUGCAAGCGUUAAUCGGAAUUACUGGGCGUAAAGCGCGCGUAGGCGGCUUGGUAAGUUGGAUGUGAAAGCCCCGGGCUCAACCUGGGAACUGCAUCCAAAACUGCCUAGCUAGAGUAUGGUAGAGGAUGGCGGAAUUUCCUGUGUAGCGGUGAAAUGCGUAGAUAUAGGAAGGAACAUCAGUGGCGAAGGCGGCCAUCUGGACCAAUAUUGACGCUGAGGUGCGAAAGCAUGGGGAGCAAACAGGAUUAGAUACCCUGGUAGUCCACGCCGUAAACGAUGAGAACUAGCCGUUGGACAUCUUGCAUGUUUAGUGGCGCAGCUAACGCGAUAAGUUCUCCGCCUGGGGAGUACGGCCGCAAGGUUAAAACUCAAAUGAAUUGACGGGGGCCCGCACAAGCGGUGGAGCAUGUGGUUUAAUUCGACGCAACGCGAAGAACCUUACCUACACUUGACAUCCUCGGAACUUUCUAGAGAUAGAUUGGCGCCUUCGGGAACCGAGUGACAGGUGCUGCAUGGCUGUCGUCAGCUCGUGUCGUGAGAUGUUGGGGUUAAGUCCCGUAACGAGCGCAACCCUUAUCCU
RNAcentral lists this ribosomal RNA (1054 nucleotides) under uncultured bacterium. RNAcentral's name for it is "bacterial SSU rRNA". It matches the Rfam family "Bacterial small subunit ribosomal RNA", at positions 68 to 1111 of the family's 1533-position model. The record is from RNAcentral.